GCCGACUUGGCGCAGCUGGGAGCGCGGUACACUGAAGCGUAUGCUGAGAUGUAAUGGUCACCUGUUCGAUCCAGGUAGUUGGCA
This 84-nucleotide transfer RNA is filed under the name Dacryopinax primogenitus. RNAcentral describes it as "tRNA-Phe". The record is from RNAcentral. Lineage: Eukaryota; Fungi; Basidiomycota; Dacrymycetes; Dacrymycetales; Dacrymycetaceae.